RNAcentral lists this long non-coding RNA (251 nucleotides) under Athene cunicularia (burrowing owl). RNAcentral's name for it is "lncRNA (ENSACUG00000011561.1)". Lineage: Eukaryota; Metazoa; Chordata; Aves; Strigiformes; Strigidae. The record is from RNAcentral.
AACAGAUGGUUAUGUGUCUGUGAUUCACUGUCACAGUUCAGGUUAGAGCAGCCUGAAGGAUGGUUUAAUAUCUGUGCACAGGGUACAAUGACUAAGGGAUCGUAAGUAGCAGGGAAGACAGCAGGAAAACAGCAUGUUUGAAUGAUUUCCCGUUUUCACUUUCAAUGGGACUUCAGAGGCAAUUCCAAGAGAGACCUCAGAUGGAGGUGGUUUAUUCUGCUGUCAGUCAAGCACUUAGAGCUAAUUCAAGG